This 867-nucleotide ribosomal RNA is filed under the name uncultured archaeon. RNAcentral describes it as "bacterial SSU rRNA". It matches the Rfam family "Archaeal small subunit ribosomal RNA", at positions 1 to 878 of the family's 1478-position model. The record is from RNAcentral.
UUCCGGUUGAUCCUGCCGGACCCGACUGCUAUCAGAGUGAGAUUAAGCCAUGCGAGUUAACGUAGCAAUACGUGGCGCACGGCUCAGUAACACGUAGUCAACAUGCCCAGAGGACGUGGAUAACCUCGGGAAACUGAGUCUAAACCGCGAUAAGUGAGGAUUUCUGGAAUGGUUCCUGACUAAAAUCUAUAUGGCCUCUGGAUUGGACUGCGGCCGAUCAGGCUGUUGGUGAGGUAAUGGCCCACCAAACCUGUAACCGGUACGGGCUCUGAGAGGAGGAGCCCGGAGAUGGGCACUGAGACAAGGGCCCAGGCCCUAUGGGGCGCAGCAGGCGCGAAACCUCUGCAAUAGGCGAAAGCCUGACAGGGUUACUCUGAGUGACUUUCGCUAAGAAAGUCUUUUGGCACCUCUAAAAAGGGUGCAGAAUAAGGGGUGGGCAAGUCUGGUGUCAGCCGCCGCGGUAAUACCAGCACCCCGAGUGGUCGGGACGAUUAUUGGGCCUAAAGCAUCCGUAGCCGGUUCUGCAAGUCUUCCGUUAAAUCCACCUGCUCAACAGAUGGGCCGCGGAGGAUACUACAGGGCUAGGAGGCGGGAGAGGCAAGCGGUACUCAGUGGGUAGGGGUAAAAUCCUCUGAUCCACUGAAGACCACCAGUGGCGAAGGCGGCUUGCCAGAACGCGCUCGACGGUGAGGGAUGAAAGCUGGGGGAGCAAACCGGAUUAGAUACCCGGGUAGUCCCAGCUGUAAACGAUGCAGACUCGGUGAUGAGUUGGCUUAUUGCUAACUCAGUGCCGCAGGGAAGCCGUUAAGUUUGCCGCCUGGGGAGUACGGUCGCAAGACUGAAACUUAAAGGAAUGGCGGGGGAGCA